GGCCGUUAUGGCCUACAAAUCAAUCAAUCCGUUUAUUAUACCAGAAUAGUACACUUCUAAUACAUAGAUCUAUCACUUCUGAUACUGUAAAUUAGUUCCUGCAGGUCCCUACAUAUAAGUAAUUAGUUAAACGACUUGUGUCUUUUCAUAAUCUACGAUACAGCCACAAAGAUUGAUUGUUUUCACAUCUGCACGAAAGGGAUUUACUUCCGGAGCCUUGUUCAUCUGGAAAACCUUAUUAUGCAGUAUUAUCCCAAUCACGAGCGGGAGCUCAUCGCACAUAGUACUACCUUCAACGUACUACCCAAAAAUACCACAGCGGCUUGCUUAAACCUAAGUCCUAACGCCUUAAGAAAACACUACCAUCUGGCUCCAAAAAAAUACCAAAAUACCAUACCAAAAUUUGAUCCCAGCGCCAAUAUGGAUAAUCUGCAGGUCCGAGAAGAUACACACGUCAGUAUGUCAUCGUGUUUUCACUUCUGUUAUUUAAUAAGUUUUUAGUUACAUACUUGAUAUUUAUUUAGUAAAGAUCUAUUUGUUUAUCAGUAGCGGUACAGAAAAUAUAUUUGGAAAUUUGCAGCUAAUUCAGCGUCUGCACUCUGCAGCGAUCUUUAAGAAAUAACAGUACACAGUAACAGAGGCUUUUUGCAGAAAACACCAUAACCAUACCUUUACCAUCACUUAUCUGGUAGCUAGACGACCGCCAUCGAAGUGGCAGUGUGCAGGAUACCUUAGAACAGGCGCAACUGAUUUUUGGGAGUCUUCGAAUUUAAUUUUUUUUCUCGUGCGACGUAGCUUUGGUUCCUUCGAAACAUUAAAAUUCAAGUUCUCUGAUGUUUUCUGUGCUUGGAAAGUCCACCUCUAGUGAAGUUAAAGUGUUCAGAAAUUAAGAGGAGCCGCUGGAAGUCGGCUACCAUACAAUGAGUUUGUAUGGUAUCCGCACUUACCAUACGCUCGCACUUAACCAUACGCUAUGGCUAAGUGUAUGGCUAUGGUUAAGUGGAGCAGUUGCAAAAAGCCUCUGUACUAUAUUAAUUGCGAAUUUUCUGUACUAUAUUAAUUGCGCUACAGUAGGUUUUACGCAUGGAACUCAUGCUUAACCGGUCAUAAUUCCGAAAUAAUAACACUCUGUUAUUAACGGUCGAUCCGGAUAGAAUGGUACAUGACCGCAUUAAUUUUGAAACAAACAAAAGUUAUAAUUCGCUCUAUUUUGUUACAAAAUUUGUUCAUUGUGACUGGCGUGUGUUAAUGAAAGGAUCACUGUGUAUAUUCCAGUGAUCGAAUGCCAGUACUUAUCUAUGUAUUGUACCACUACAAUAUGUAUCUUUUGCUUGAAAGCCAAGUCCCAAGGCAAAUUAUGACUAGCGAAUGCCGAUGUCCCAUUUUUCUUAUGCUAAAGUGUUUGGAUUAAGCGUUCCUUUUGAAACAAGCUCGUUUUUAUGUGCUUUUGUAAAAUAUGAUCCACCGCGGUACAAAGGUAAACAGAGCGGAGAUGUUCCCAGUAAGGCUGGAUGCUUGUUUGCGGAUUAGACGGAUCUUCGCCUCGUGGGAGCCCGGCUGUUGGCUGGUGAUUAUCAACACCACAUUCGAUCCCUUGGCGCUUACGCCGAAUGUCAAUAUGGCAUUCGGAUCAUGAUCAGGAUCAAUGCCUCGCAGUGUGUAAAUAACACUUCCUGCACCAAAUCACAAAACUACUGUAGUGAUGCCAUUAGUGAGGUCAUCGUGAUGCCAUUAAAAUUACUUAUAGUACAAUGGCUGAUGAAAUUUCGACGACUGUUACCAAUUUCCAAUCCGAGCUGCAGUUAAAACAGCUGAAAACGAUGUAAACUGUAAACUUAACCAUGGCAGUACGAUACCAUUAAGGCAAAAAAGCGACAUGCCUACUUCCGGUGCUACGUCUCGAUAAGGUAAGCCAUCCACCAGCGCAAUGCUUUACGGCUCGUAGUCUCCCUAGGUUGCUAUGAUAAACGCUUUGAGGUUUUUUCAAAUUCAAAACGAGUGACUCACAGUUUAGAAGAUAGAGAAAAAAAUUUAAAGAUUUCUGAUGCAUAGUUUGCUUGGAGUUUGGGCUGACUGGAGGUUACAGAAAGGUUCUAGAGUAGAGUGUAAGCAGUUUGCUUACGACGGUCGUGCGGUCUGGACCGACCGCUGCAUUGACUUUGUAUGCUAUCUCGAUUUGCUUUCGAAACAUUUGAAAAACCUCAGUUCGCUUUGUUUUAAUACUGAAAACGUUUGCACCAGAAAACGUAAAAUUUUUUGGGCUUUCUUUGAGCUAUACCAUGAUAAUUUUGUUGAACGAUGAAGCGAAAUACUGUACGUUUACCAUACAACUGUUAUCUGCAGUACGGCCAAAUGAUGGACCUUCUAUGAAAAAUACUGUUUUUAUACAAAAUUAAGCAGUUCGAUUUAUUUCCAGAAAAUUACAAUGACAGUAAAUAAGUAACUUUUCCGCAAAAUAACGAGCUCAGUAAAUUUGUCUAGAAUCCAUCAAUAUGAAAAACCGAAAGAAAAAUCUGAUGUUUAUAAUACAUGAUUGCCAAGAGCGGCAUACAGAUACAUCCCAUGGCUAAUAACUGUGACCUUUUCAUCCUAGCAAUUAAUUCGUAAGCAGCACUAAUUACGCUAGUCCAGCCAUAAAAAAUUAUCCUCUUUUAGGUAAAGCGUCUAAUCUAGGGUAGUCUAAGAAAUUACGUAAUUACAACGCGAAAACCUGUAAAAAAUUUAGGUUUGCUACAGAAUACUAUCAUGUUUAGCUACCACGUUUACUAAUAAAAACUUUGCCCACGCUGGUUUAAGCACACAUAGUAUCGCGUUUAACUCAGUGAUGGGUUACUGCAUGAGUAGACAGUAAGUAAAGAAGAGUUACUCAGUAAACAGUAGCCUAAUAUUAAGCAUUCAGUAACCAUUAACGUUUUGGGCCUGAAGUAACAGUAAGUAAGGUUUCUAAAAUAACAGUAAAAGUAAGUAAAAAGUAGGGAAAAGUUUUGGCUGGCGAUAUUUGUACUGAUAAUACGAUUUUUAUUGAAAUUUCUAACGAUUUCGCUAUAAAUUUGCUCGUCACCUUCGCGCUUCGCGCGAAAUUUGCUUUCUAACAUAAGUUUUAGCCGUUGGUACUUAACUUACUGAGUAAGUAAUCUUUAAGGUGAAUUAGUUUACAGUAAGUAAAAGUAGCGUUUGUGGCAGCGAAAAAGUAACAGUAAAGUAAGUCAAAAGUAUCGCAACAGUAAGAGUAAGUAAGAGGUCCAAAAAACUCAGUAACCCAUCACUGGACUUUAACUUUAAUCGAAAUCGUAAAUACUGAAGUGCGACCAUGAGGCCCAUAUGUCGCACCUUCUGCGGCUGAGCCUAACCGACGGGAUUAUCAGUAAACCCAUAAUCCACGAUUCCACCCUGAAUAUCGGUGACGAGGGCGAUGAGACGUCAAAUGUAAUGUACUAAACGGCAUUACAGCGUAAUUUAAAAACGGCAAGGGUGACUGGUAUCCAGCAUAUAACAAUUACAGUGUAAAUUAACGCCAAACUUAAAAUUUUCAAUAUUUUAUAAUUAAUAGUUCUCGUAUAAAAAUUUAACUUACAAUAAUGUUACUGGUAUAGGCGCUUCAGUGCUGCAGUUGGAUUUCGCCAAUAUCAUUUCGCCUUACAAAGAAAAUCGUAAACCCCUUAUUGCUUUUGCAGUCCAGCAAGCAGUUUAUCACAUGUGACCGGCGAAGACUACGUGCCCAAACUCUAGGAAUUCAGAUACGAAACUUCAAAUCGGGCACUGACAUCUGAAAUGGAUUAAAACCAGUUGCUCAAUGUUUAUUUUAUUACUGUGACAUUCUGCAAUAAAAAUAUUAAAAUAGUGGAUACUAUUAUUGUUCUAUGACAUGUUUUUACGACCGUUGACGUUUGCUGCAGGGAUCGGUAGGCCUAGGAACAAAAACAAAAUACAAUUUUUUCAACUUUUUUUUGUAGCCUCAAUUUGUCGAUUGCAGUACUACCUAUUACGUGGCCGUGAAACGCCCCACCCGGCACCGUCAUCGGACCCGCGACAAAGACCAGGGCAUUUACGGAAUGAUCCACUUCGACGAACUGGACAACGCCAAGACAUUUAAAGUGGAGAUGCUGAACGCCAACACCGGCACCGGCCGCAUCAUUCUCACCGGUCCGCUAGGCUACGAGACACAGCCCAUGUACCAGCUGCGCAUCAUCGCCAUGGACGGGACACCGGCGCUGCAGCGCAUCAACACCGCCACCCUGGGGGUGGUGGUGCAGGUGCUGAAUACCCAGGACACGCCCUCCGCAAUUCAUCAUCUAUCCCAGCCUGCAGUAUGUCGCAGACAUUGUCGCGAUUGGGAAGGAGGUGUUUAAUGUACUGGCGCAGGCGGUGACCGUGGGAUACCGAAACCCAUACAGUAUUCCCUGCAGCCGGCCAAUUCACCCUUUGCCAUCGAUCCGCAGACCGGUGUGGUGUAUGCAUCGCAACCGUCAGAUCGCGAGGCACACACCAUCGGUGGGACCAUGGGGUUGACGAUUGUUGCCACGGAGCUGCCGGUCACACCGGGAAUUUCGGCAUCGGUGCAAGUCAGUAUUAUUAUCGAGGAUGUUAACGACUGUCUCCCGCAAUUUUAUAACGGCAUCCACCCAACCGACACUUAUUCAGCUUCCAUCCCUGAAAACCGGCAGUCGGCGCUUUAGUCAACAUUGAACCGGGUAUCACGCCGCGCGUUUUUGAUUCGGACCAGGGCAUCAACGGCUCCUUUGUCCUGACCAUCACCGUUGGGAUAAAAUUUUCGCUUAAGAAUCACUAAGUUUAACACGUAUUUUGAAUAUUUAAAAUCUGCGCGUUAUUUGGCAGCUGUCACAAAUACUGCCAAACUGCCCGUCGCCUGCUCACCGCCUCGGUAUGCUAUUCCGGUGCUGCCACUCACGCAGAUUCAAGAUAAAAAUUACCACAAACGAUCAUUCUGCAAAUCUGCACGCUGCAGUAGUCUGCUUGCGAAUAAGUUCCUUGAUUUUUUUUUAUAUCCUGGAUUUGUUGUGAUUUUAAUAACAUUUUGUGAUUGCUUGUGGGUGUUUUACCUUCCUCGUGACAAAAUCAUGCAGGCCCCCCCCACCAGCGAAUACUAUGGUGAUUACGCGAUCCUAUUUGAUGUUCCGUCGGACUGCGAACGUCCCGCAACCUGCGGGUUGGUUGGACGAUGGGGGGCAGUUCUUUGCCCGUUACGGUCUCGGAGCGUGGCGACGAUACGCAAUGGCAGCGCUUCCCGUGUCUGUUAGCAGGGAAAGCGGACAUCUGUUGGUCGGCCUGCGCGAAGCUCGCGGUGAUGGGGAUGCCUUCGACUUGGCUCGUGACUCCAAUGCUAUGCGUUUGAUUUUGAGCCAUUCGGGGCACCCUCUGGAACUGGUAGACAUUGUUAAUGUCGCCGUUAGCGUGCCAGCGCCGAAUAUCAUAUACCCAGGGCAACCAAAUCCGGCCCAAGUGUAUCCCGUCCCGGUGCCAAAUCCGGCGCCCCAAUAAGCCUCUCCAUCUGCUUCCCCACCAUAUUCGCACGCAUUUCCCCCUGAAUUCUGUGCUUAACCAGUGUUUCGAUUUGCGUGAUAGAGAAUUUUCGUCGUUAAUUUUUCUUCUCUCUGGUUGGCAUACAUUAUAUGUAGGUGGUGGUUAUUUAUGAUCGUAACUGUCGCGCUCCCCUGUUGUUUUGUUGUUUUUUAAGAAAAAUUUGAUUUAAACUAACACUGCGGUUUUACACGGUAUGAUGAAUAACGGAAGAGUACUCGCAGGUCGAAUCUGGAUUUGAUUUGCCGGAUAAUUUAAGUCGCUCUGGUAUUUUUUUGAUUGUCGAUUUUAUUCAUACCCAACACCUUGGUUUUUGGCGCGUGCUGUGGCUUGCUGCUUCUUUGAUUUGUUCUCCAUUUGGUAAUUUUGGUUGUUCACCCUUUGAUAAAACCAGUCAAAUACCGCGUUUCCCGGGUUGUUGUUGUUGUUGUGUUCGGUUCUCUCAGCUUUAGUGCAGUUGCUGCGUUAAAUGGUGGCGGAUUAAUCUAUCCGGUCAUAGCUUGUAAACUGUAUAUCCUUAACUUUUCCCAAAGUUCCAAAUAUUUAGUAAAAAUUAGAAACCCGCAAGGUCAUCUAUUUUUCUAAUAUUAAAAUAAACUGGAACUUUUUAUUGUAAAAUGAAGUAAAAUUGUUCAUAAUUAUCAGAAAGUUUCAUGGAUAUGCUGGUUAAAUUAAAAUGAAAUUACAUAAUUACUUUAACAGAAAAUGAGUUUUUAGUACUUUUCAUUAUUUUACUUUGGAAUCAAUCCACACGCGCAACCAUUAUAGAAAGAGUUAUUUGUUAUGCUGCUGUAAUAUUCUGAGUCGAGAAAAAUUCAUUCCUCCAAAAACAACUUUUUGUACGUUUUCCGCAAAACAGCUGCCCGAAUAAUUCCAGCAGUAAUAUACGCUGUAUACCUAUCGUCCCAAAAUUGUCCUGCGUGGUUUAUUUUUGUUUGUUUAUUUCCGGUUCCUUGUGUCUCUCUAAUUGCAUGCCCUGUCACCUUGUGUGUUUCAUUAUAGGUCCCAAAUUUAGAGAGCAUCUGCAUGAUAAUAACAAAAACUUGUGACAAAUUCUGUGUUUCUGCAUGUUUUAACAGUAAGUGCACGAGCUGUCAGUGUAUAUAUGAAUGUUUGUUGUGACGGUCUGAUUAACGACGUCGUGCGUGACCUUUCUUCCUUCCUUUAAUCCUUCUCCUGGUUUGGGACUUUCCUAUUUUUUCUGUGGGAUAUUUUGUUGCUUUUUAUGUUGGCGUUUUCAUUUGUUCCACACAGAAAACUUGACAAUGGGUGGCGGCAAGAAGAAAGUCGAAGCCAAAAAUCAUUAAGCGCAGCGCUGUUAUAUUAUUUUACACGCGAUCCUGUGUCAUUUUUGUUGCAAAUUAUUCGGCAUAAUCAAAUCCCUCCUCGAUGAUGAAACCAUACCCUCUUUGCAAACCUGAUCUGAUGUUGGAAAAUUAUAUAUAUAUCGUCCAUAAAAAACCAUGCCAAAAAAACCUGGAAAAAAGCACUGGAGAAUUUGUAUCCGAUGUUAAAUCUCCCUUGUGCUACGUUUUCGAACUGUUGUUUCGGCGGCGCGCCAAAACCCGGCGCUCGGCGCGCCAGUUAUCUUCCCGGCGGCGCGCCAAAACCACGGUGGAUUAUCAUCAUGCAGAAUGAGUUUUUCGUUGUGGUUCUGUUUUUUUUUCUUCGGCGGAAACAGAUCGUCCGAGCUGUUGUCCGCGGUAGCGUUGCGUUUUUCCACUGUGUGCCUCGGCUGUUUUAUUUAAAUAAUGUUAAUAUUAUUAUUAUUAGUGUUAGAUACUGUACCGGCUCUGUUGAAUGAUAACCACCGGAAGUGCUUCCAUUUGGUGCCUUAGUUAAUACUGCAGUAGCGUGGUGAAAUGUAUAGCUAGUGCUGCUCUUAUAUGCUCCCGGUUUGUUCUUUAGU
Paramacrobiotus metropolitanus is the source of this 7447-nucleotide long non-coding RNA. RefSeq lists it as uncharacterized. The record is from RefSeq and is a predicted model, not a curated record. The transcript is spliced from 5 exons. NCBI's taxonomy places the organism in Eukaryota, Metazoa, Tardigrada, Eutardigrada, Parachela, Macrobiotidae.